RNAcentral lists this microRNA precursor (65 nucleotides) under Bombyx mori (domestic silkworm). Its description in RNAcentral is "mir-2774 microRNA precursor family". It matches the Rfam family "mir-2774 microRNA precursor family". Lineage: Eukaryota; Metazoa; Arthropoda; Insecta; Lepidoptera; Bombycidae. The record is from Rfam by way of RNAcentral.
ACAACAAGGCUCGUAGGUUUACCGCGCAAUAUCACCCGCUCGGUGGAAGAUCUUCCAUUUGUUGU